Molecule: small nucleolar RNA, 142 nt
Organism: Acomys russatus (golden spiny mouse)
Lineage: Eukaryota; Metazoa; Chordata; Mammalia; Rodentia; Muridae
Product: small nucleolar RNA SNORA48
Exons: 1
Source: RefSeq, a predicted model, not a curated record
UUCCCUUGCCUGUGGGCAAAGAGACACUUUGUUGGUGUUAAUCUUAUAUCAGUCAGGGGCAGAGCAGAUGGCCGUCCUUUGCUUAUCCUAGCUUGAUGCCUGGCUUGGUGGCCAAAGCUGUCGUAUGCCCAAAGACUCAUAA